AACGAACGCUGGCGGCAUGCCUAACACAUGCAAGUCGAACGAGACCUUCGGGUCUAGUGGCGCACGGGUGCGUAACGCGUGGGAACCUGCCCUUAGGUUCGGAAUAACUCCCCGAAAGGGGUGCUAAUACCGGAUAAUGUCUUCGGACCAAAGAUUUAUCGCCUUUGGAUGGGCCCGCGUUGGAUUAGCUAGUUGGUAGGGUAAAAGCCUACCAAGGCGACGAUCCAUAGCUGGUCUGAGAGGAUGAUCAGCCACACUGGGACUGAGACACGGCCCAGACUCCUACGGGAGGCAGCAGUGGGGAAUAUUGGACAAUGGGCGAAAGCCUGAUCCAGCAAUGCCGCGUGAAUGAUGAAGGCCUUAGGGUUGUAAAGCUCUUUUACCCGGGAUGAUAAUGACAGUACCGGGAGAAUAAGCUCCGGCUAACUCCGUG
RNAcentral lists this ribosomal RNA (433 nucleotides) under uncultured bacterium. RNAcentral's name for it is "partial 16S ribosomal RNA". It matches the Rfam family "Bacterial small subunit ribosomal RNA", at positions 29 to 507 of the family's 1533-position model. The record is from RNAcentral.